Molecule: ribosomal RNA, 253 nt
Filed under: uncultured archaeon
Lineage: Archaea
Description: partial 16S ribosomal RNA
Rfam family: Archaeal small subunit ribosomal RNA
Source: RNAcentral
UCCCGGCGGUCCAAGUCGCAUCCACAAUUAUUGGGUCUAAAACAUCCGUAGCUUGUUUUGUAAGUCUCUUGUGAAAUUUCAUAUCUCAAGUAUGAAGCGUGCAAGAGAUACUACAUUGCUAGAGACUGGAAGACGCAAAGAGUACGUAGGAGGUAGCGGUAAAAUGUGUUAAUCUUCUUCGGACUAACAAUGGCGAAGGCACUUUGCGAGUACAGAUCUGACAGUGAGGGAUGAAGGCUAGGGGCGCAAAAGG